AACCAGCACCUCAAGUGGUCAGGAUGAUUAUUGGGCCUAAAGCAUCCGUAGCCGGCUCUGUAAGCCCUCGGUUAAAUCUGUACGCUUAACGUACAGGCUGCCGGGAAUACUGCAUAGCUAGGGAGUGGGAGAGGUAGACGGUACUCGGUAGGAAGGGGUAAAAUCCUUUGAUCUAUUGAGGAACACCAAUGGCGAAGGCAGGUCUCUGGGCCAUUACUGACACUGAGGAGCGAAAGCGUGGGGAGCGAACAGG
RNAcentral lists this ribosomal RNA (253 nucleotides) under uncultured archaeon. RNAcentral describes it as "partial 16S ribosomal RNA". The stretch from base 27 to 253 matches the Rfam family "Bacterial small subunit ribosomal RNA", at positions 550 to 776 of the family's 1533-position model. The record is from RNAcentral.